Molecule: ribosomal RNA, 253 nt
Filed under: uncultured bacterium
Lineage: Bacteria
Description: partial 16S ribosomal RNA
Rfam family: Bacterial small subunit ribosomal RNA
Source: RNAcentral
UACGUAGGGACCAAGCGUUGUUCGGAUUUACUGGGCGUAAAGGGCGCGUAGGCGGCGUGUCAAGUCAAUUGUGAAAUCUCCGGGCUUAACUCGGAACGGUCAAUUGAUACUGAUGUGCUAGAGUGCAGAAGGGGCAAUCGGAAUUCUUGGUGUAGCGGUGAAAUGCGUAGAUAUCGUAAGGAAGACCAGUGGCGAAGGCGGGUCUCUGGACAGUUCCUGACGCUGAGGCACGAAGGCCAGGGGAGCAAACGGG